This 430-nucleotide ribosomal RNA is filed under the name Sesamia kouilouensis. RNAcentral describes it as "partial 16S ribosomal RNA". The record is from RNAcentral. Lineage: Eukaryota; Metazoa; Arthropoda; Insecta; Lepidoptera; Noctuidae.
UUAAAGGGCUGCAGUAUAUUGACUGUACAAAGGUAGCAUAAUCAUUAGUCAUUUAAUUGAUGACUUGUAUGAAGGAUUGGAUGAAAUAUAAACUGUCUCUUAAUUAUAUUUAGAAUUUAAUUUUUUAAUUAAAAAGUUAAAAUAAAUUAAAAAGACGAGAAGACCCUAUAGAGUUUUAUAAAUAAAAUUAAUUGAGAUUAUUUGUAAAAUUAAAAUUAAGAUUAAUUUAAUUAUUUUGUUGGGGUGACAGAAAAAUAUGAAAAACUUUUUAUAUGUUUUAAAACGUUGAUAAGUGGUUAAAUGAUCCAGUAUUAUUGAUUAUAAGAAAAAAUUACCUUAGGGAUAACAGCGUAAUUUUUUUUUUUAGUUCACAUAAAAAAAAAAGUUUGCGACCUCGAUGUUGGAUUAAGAUAAAAUUUAAAUGUAGAAG